Manacus vitellinus (golden-collared manakin) is the source of this 973-nucleotide RNA transcript. RefSeq lists it as uncharacterized. Lineage: Eukaryota; Metazoa; Chordata; Aves; Passeriformes; Pipridae. The transcript has 3 exons. The record is from RefSeq and is a predicted model, not a curated record.
CGCUGAGGCGGAGGGGUCAGGGCGGGUCCUGCUCCCUGUCCCGCUCCUUGUCCCUCUCCCUUCCCGGGCUCCCACCCUCAUCCACAGCCCCAGGAGGCACAGGGCGGGCACGGAGAGCCUCCCUGCCCAGCCCUGCGUGUUUCCCCCAGCCCCGGAGCCUCCUGAGGGCUCGGCGGGCGGGCGGGAUGUGACCCAUCCCCGAGCCUGGAGGUCACUGGUACUCCGUUGGCCAUGGAGAGCUGCAUCCCACAGGGAGGAGCCCGCCCGGCAUCCCAGGCGCCUUCCCUGCCCGAGGGGAUGAGCCAGGAGCCUCGCGGAGAGCUGGGAUUGCCUGGGAUACCGCAUGGAAUGUGUCCCAAGUGCCCCGUGGAGGGCUGGGAUAACCCGGCAGGAGACGUGGGAUUCACCCCCCACCAGCAGGAUGGAGGGGAACGCCCGGGAAAACGCCGCUGGAACGCUGCAUGGGAUGGAGCCAACAGUGCCCGGCUGCUGGAAAACUCGGUGCCUGUUUCCCUCUGGAAAAAUCCCAGAGGAUGGGCAGGAACAGCCCGAGGCUGCCGCGCCUUUUCCCCCGCUCCCAGGGCGAGGGGACGGUGUUUCGCACCCUUCUGAGCCGCCCAAAGAGCUGAAAUCCAAGGAUUUAAACCUCCCCGAGCGCCGCACGCCCCGGGCUUUGCAUCUGGGUUUGUUUGAGCUGGAGGUUUAUUGGUGCUUUUAAGGAAUCCAGUCGCCAUCUGCCGGCAAAUGUGGCUGCUCUGGGGGGAAAUUCGGGAUUUAAGGGCAGUUUCUGUGAUUUCCUGGGUGGAAAUGAGGAUUUUUAGGAUGCUUGAAGGGGCAGGUGGGUUUGGAGUGAGGAAAAUGAAAUGCAGAUCCCACCCCAGACACCUCUGCGUCGCGCAGAGCUUAAAAUAAUACAUCAGCGUGGGGAAUAUCUUGGGGGUAAAUGAGAUAAAUUGAAUAAAUUAGAGGUUUU